Molecule: ribosomal RNA, 305 nt
Filed under: uncultured bacterium
Lineage: Bacteria
Description: bacterial SSU rRNA
Rfam family: Bacterial small subunit ribosomal RNA
Source: RNAcentral
CCUACGGGGCGCAGCAGCCGGGAAUAUUGCGCAAUGGAGGAAACUCUGACGCAGUGACGCCGCGUAUAGGAAGAAGGUUUUCGGAUUGUAAACUAUUGUCGUGAGGGAAGAAAUUGACAGUACCUCAGGAGGAAGCUCCGGCUAACUAUGUGCCAGCAGCCGCGGUAAUACGUAGGGGGCGAGCGUUGUCCGGAAUCACUGGGCGUAAAGGGCGCGUAGGCGGUAAUAUAAGUCAGAUGUGAAAGGUGGGGGCGCAACCCCUAGCGUGCAACUGAUACUGUAUAACUUGAGUGUGAGAGAGGGAG